This 253-nucleotide unclassified non-coding RNA is filed under the name plant metagenome. RNAcentral describes it as "partial contains small subunit ribosomal RNA, internal transcribed spacer 1, and 5.8S ribosomal RNA". The record is from RNAcentral.
UUUCCGUAGGUGAACCAGCGGAAGGAUCAUUAACGAGUUAGGGUCUUCCAGGCCCGACCUCCCAACCCUAUGUUUAUUGAACCUCUGUUGCUUCGGCGGACCCGCCUCACGGCCGCUGGAGGACCGCUGCAAGGCGUCCUCUGGCCAGCGUCCGCCGAUGGCCAACCACUUAAACUCUGAAUGAAUCGUGUCAUAUGUCUAAGUCUAUGAUUAAAUUAAAGCAAAACUUUCAACAACGGAUCUCUUGGUUCUG